UUCCCCCGAAGUAUAUCUAAUACAGUAUAUACAUUCAUACUGAGACAGCAGUUGUACCCACUGCUUAAAUGUUGUGUCCACUGCAUGUUUCCCAUUUUCGUCUACAGCUCAUCAAACCCAUUUCAAUUGCUCAAUUACUUCCCUUUUAAUUCUAUUUACCACAAACCUCGUUUGAUUCCAGUUCCCUUUUUUCUUUUUUCAAGAAAAUUUGUUCAUAAUUCAAUCAAGUCAAUGGACAAAGAGGUGCCAUUCUCAUAAGUUCAAAUCUAGCAAGAAGGAUUGGUGAAUGGAGCAUUGUUAUGGAGAAGAUGCUGAUAUAACUGAAUCAGAGAUUGAAGACUAUAAAGAAAAAUCAUAUGAAGAGUUGAGGUGUGGAAAUCAAUCUUUUAAGAUAUCAGAUGUGGCUUACACUUGUCCCUAUUGUCAAGAGAAAAGUGGGCGCCACCUUUUCUAUGAAGAUCUCUUGCAGCAUGCAAGUGGAAUAGGAAAGUCUAAAAUACGAACCGCAAGAGAUAGGGCCAACCAUCUUGCAUUGGCCAAGUAUUUAGAAAAUGAUGUAGCAGGUGCUGCUAUUCCAUCAAAAUCUAAUAAAGAGUUGAACAGUGGAAAUCACUCUUUUAGGAUAUCAGAUGUAGUUUUUGCUUGCCCAUAUUGUCCAGAGACAAGAAAAAGAGGUUUUUCUUUUAAGGAUCUGUUGCAACAUGCAAAUGGAAUAGGAAGCUCAAACUCUACGAAGCGAACUGCAAGAGAUACGGCGAACCAUCUUGCAUUGGCCAAGCGCUUGGAAAAUAAUGUAGCAGGUUCUUCCAGUUCAGCAAAAUAUUAUGAAGACUCGAGGAGUGGAAAUCACUCUCUUAAGAUAUCAAAUAUGGCUUUUGCUUGUCCCUAUUGUCCGGAGACAAGAGAAAGAGUUUUUUCUUAUAAGGAUCUCUUGCAGCAUGCAAAUGGAAUAGGAAACUCUAACUCUUUGAAGCGAACUGCAAGAGAUAAAGCGAACCAUCUUGCAUUAGCCAAGCGCUUGGAAAAAGAUGUAGCCAGUUCUGCCAGUUCAUCAAAAUCUUAUGAAGAGUCUAGGAAUGUAAAUCACUCUUUUAAGCUAUCAAAUAUGACUUUUGCUUGCCCCUACUGUCCAGAGACAAGAAACAGAGAUUUUUCGUACAUAGAUCUCUUUCAGCAUGUAUAUUCAGUGGGAAACUGUAACUCUAUAACGCGAACAGCAAGUGAUAAGGCCAACCAUCUUGCAUUGGCCAAGUCCAUGGAAAAUGAUUUAGCAGGUGCAGCUGGUCCAUCAAAAUCUUAUGAAGAGAUGAAGACUGGAAAUCACUCUCCUAAGAUACCAGAUAUGGCUUUUGCUCUUGCCUAUUGUCCAGAGACGAGAAACAGAGACUUUUUAUACAAGGAUCUCUUGCAGCAUGCGAGUGGAGUAAGAAAUGGUAACUCUAAGAAGCGAACUGCAAGAGAUAGUGCCAACCAUCUUCCAUUGGUCAAGCACUUGGAAUGUGAUGUAGCAGGUCCAUUGAAAGCUUAUGAAGAGUUGGAGAGUGGGAAACAAUCUUUUAACAUAUCAGAAAGGACUUUUGCUUGUGCCUAUUGUUCAGAUACAAGAAACAGAGAUUUUUCGUACAAAGAUCUCUUGCAGCAUGCAGUAGGAGUAGCAAGCUGUGACUCUAAGAAACGAACGGCAAGAGAUAAGGCCAACCAUCUUGCCUUGGCCAAGCACUUGCAAAAUUUUGCCACAUAUUUGGAAAAUGAUGUAGCAAGUGCUCCCAGUACAUCAAUUUCUUAUGAAAAAAUGAAGAGUAAUCACUCUUUUAACAAUUCAGAUGUCGCUUUUGCUUGCCCCUAUUGUCCAGAGACUAGAAACAAAGAUUUUUCAUAUAAGGAUCUCUUGCAGCAUGUUGGCGGAGUAGGAAGCUGUAACUCUAAGAAGCGAACUGCAAGGGAUAAGGCUAACCAUCUUGCAUUGGCCAAGUACUUGGCAAGUGAUGUAGCAGGCGGUGCUAGUUCAUCAAUACCUUAUGAAAAGUUGAAGAGUAGAAAUUACUCUUUGAACAUACCAGCUGUGGCUUACACUUUUGCCUAUUGUCCAAAGAAAAGAAAGCGAGAUUUUAUGUAUAAGGAUCUCAUGUUCCAUGUGAGGGAAGUUGGAAGCUGUAGCUCCAACAAGCGAAGUGCAAUAGAUAAAGCUAACCAUCUUACAUUGGCCAAGUACUUCGAAAAUGAUGUAGCACUUGCUGCCAGUCCAUCAAAAGCUGAUACUCUAGGUGAUCCUCAGGUUGAUACUCUUGCAAAUUAUGACCGUGCUGAGAUAUUUGUAUGGCCGUGGAUUGCAGUUGUUGUGAAUCUUCCCACUGAAUUUAAGGAUGGACGCUAUGUAGGAGAAAGUGGUUCCAAUCUGAAGGAUCAGUUGAUAAGGAGAGGUUUCAAUCCAACACGAGUGCGCACUCUAUGGACUGACCUAGGCCAUUCUGGAAUUGCUCUUGUUGAAUUCAAGAAAGAUUGGUCUGGGUUCUGUAAUGCCAUAUUAUUUGAGAAGGCCUAUGAGGCCGACUAUCAUGGUAAGAAGGACUGGGAAGCCAGUAAUGACAAAAAGUCUGAUCUUUAUGCUUGGAUAGCUCGAGCUGAUGAUUAUCAGGCUACUAAUGUUGUUGGUGAAAAGCUCCAGAAAUUUGGAGACCUUAGAACCAUUUCUAAUAUCAUGGAAGAAGAAUCUAGGAAGACUCGUAAGCUUGUUUCUAGUUUGACCAAUGCCAUUGAAGUCAAGAAGUUGAACUUAAAGAUGAUAGAGGACAAAUACCAGGAGACUUCCCAGUCUGUCGAACAGUUGAUUGUGGUGAAUGCUAAACUUCGUCAAUCAUACAAUGAAGAAAUAAAAAAAAUCCAGUCAAGUUCACGCGAUCAUUUCCAGCAGACAUUUAUUAAUCAUGAAAAGUUAAAAUUACAAUUGGAAACUCAAAAAAAGGAGCUUGAACUCCAACAUACAGAAUUGCAGAAACGUGAGGCCCGAAAUGAAAGUGAUAGGAAAAAAAUGUCCGAAGAUCUUGAACAGAAUGCUAUCCUAAAAACCUCCCUUAGUGCUGCGAUUGAAGAGCAAAGGAAUGUUGAUGAAAAAUUACCGAAAUUGGCAGAAGAACUGAAGAAACAAAAGGAGGAACUCCAUAAGAGAAUUAUUAAGCUUGAGAAACAACUUGUCGCGAAACAAGCAGGGGAAAUUGAAGUGGAGCGAUUGCGAGCGACUAUGAAGCAGAUUGAAGAAGAGGCCAAUCAGGAGGUUCUGCAAAAAGUUGACACAUUGCUUAAAGAUUUAAGAGAAAAGGAAGAAAAAUAUGAAGAUCUAGUGGCUUUGAACCAAACCUUGAUUGUGAAGGAACGAAAGAGCAAUGAUGAGCUGCAGGAAGCACUUAAAGAAUUGGUUAAUGGUUUGAAAGAAUUACCUAGAAAUGGUCCUAUUGGUGUUAAGAGGAUGGGAGAGCUCGACAGCAGACCAUUUCUUGAAGCAAUGAAGAGGAGAUAUAAUGAGGUAGAAGCAGAGGAGAUAGCUUCUGAGUUGUGCUCGUUGUGGGAGGAAUACCUUAGAGACCCUGAAUGGCAUCCCAUUAAAGUCAUUUCCAUAAAUGGGAAGCAUCAGGCUGUAAUUGAUGAUGAAGAUGAAAAACUGAAAGGCUUGAAGAAAACUUACGGUGAUGAAGUGUAUAAAGCUGUUACAACUGCUUUGACUGAGAUUAAUGUAUAUAACCCAAGUGGAGGAUACAUCAUCUCUGAGCUGUGGAAUUAUGAAGUUGCCGAGAAAGCUACUUUACAGGAGGGAGUUACUGUGUUACUAAACCUAUGGAAAAAGAAAAUGACACUCGACUGAACUUUGGAUGCUUCAUUGAGCUUUUCCUAACGUUCUUUAGGGACAGAAAAUUAAAGUGGAGAAUUGAAAAAUAUGGAGCAUAAGCUGGGGAGGAGGACAAGCUCGAGCUGCUUAAAGCAGGGUCUAUACUUCUCCGGGGUAGGUUAAGGUCUGCGUACACACUACCUCCCCCCAGACCCGACUUGUGGUAUUUUACUAGGUUGUUGUUGUUGUUUAUUCGGAGGUGAUCAAAUGGAUCAUUAGCCAAUCACAGCAAGAAUGGAAUUGAGGUGUCUUUGCUAAUUUGUGAUUGUUAUUUUUAUAUAAUAGCAAUAAAUCACUUAGGGAAAACUUUGGUAAAAAAGUUGAAGGCAAGGCUGCUACCAGUAAUUCUGUAGUCAACAAUGAUUUACAGAAUGCUUUUCUUGAUAUUUCUGGAAUUGUUAGGCAUUAUCAAUAUCAACUGUAAAGUGUUUUCUUAGCUUCUUCCCCUUCAACUCCACUUCAAUUCACUCUAUAAACUCUAUUCAUUCUCUUCGUAUCACAUUUUAUCUCAGCAUAAUAUAAUACAUAAAUUCUCGUAUAAUUUAAUGCAUGUAUUAUUUAAUACAGCCGUCUAUGCAGGAUAGUUAUGUCGGGAUUAUUUUUCCCAUACGGUCAAUCAAAUGUUGCAUCAAUUAUGUGGAGAUUGUUUUUCCUAAUCUCUUCAACUAAAAUUGUACAUUAUUUUGUUCAGAAUUUUAUGUGCGGAAUAGUUAUGUCAGGAUUAAUUUUUUUCCCAUAUGGUCAACCAAAUGUUGCAUCAAUUAUGUAGAGAUUGUUUUCCCUAGUCUCAGCAACUAAAAUUGUACAUUAUUUUGUUCAGA
Molecule: RNA transcript, 4701 nt
Organism: Nicotiana attenuata
Lineage: Eukaryota; Viridiplantae; Streptophyta; Magnoliopsida; Solanales; Solanaceae
Gene name: protein INVOLVED IN DE NOVO 2-like
Exons: 9
Source: RefSeq, a predicted model, not a curated record